This 392-nucleotide ribosomal RNA is filed under the name uncultured Haptoria. RNAcentral describes it as "partial small subunit ribosomal RNA". It matches the Rfam family "Eukaryotic small subunit ribosomal RNA", at positions 30 to 432 of the family's 1831-position model. The record is from RNAcentral. Lineage: Eukaryota; Ciliophora; Litostomatea.
GCUUGUCUCAAAGAUUAAGCCAUGCAUGUCUAAGUAUAAAUAGUAUACAGUGAAACUGCGAAUGGCUCAUUAAAACAGUUAUAGUUUAUUUGAUAAUUGAAUGCUACAUGGAUAACCGUGGUAAUUCUAGAGCUAAUACAUGCUGUUAAACCUGACUUACGAAGGGUUGUAUUUAUUAGAUAUUAAACCAAUAGCCCAAAAGGCUGUUGUGAUGAUUCAUAAUAACUGAUCGAAGCGAGGCCAGCCUCGCUAAAUCAUUCAAGUUUCUGCCCUAUCAGCUUUCGAUGGUAGUGUAUUGGACUACCAUGGCAAUCACGGGUAACGGGGAAUUAGGGUUCGAUUCCGGAGAGGGAGCCUGAGAAACGGCUACCACUUCUAAGGAAGGCAGCAGG